RNAcentral lists this ribosomal RNA (468 nucleotides) under uncultured bacterium. Its description in RNAcentral is "partial 16S ribosomal RNA". It matches the Rfam family "Bacterial small subunit ribosomal RNA", at positions 28 to 507 of the family's 1533-position model. The record is from RNAcentral.
GACGAACGCUGGCGGCGUGCUUAACACAUGCAAGUCGAACGGAAAGGCCCUGCUUUUGUGGGGUGCUCGAGUGGCGAACGGGUGAGUAACACGUGAGUAACCUGCCCUUGACUUUGGGAUAACUUCAGGAAACUGGGGCUAAUACCGGAUAGGAGCUCCUGCUGCAUGGUGGGGGUUGGAAAGUUUCGGCGGUUGGGGAUGGACUCGCGGCUUAUCAGCUUGUUGGUGGGGUAGUGGCUUACCAAGGCUUUGACGGGUAGCCGGCCUGGGAGGGUGACCGGCCACAUUGGGACUGAGAUACGGCCCAGAAUCCUACGGGAGGCAGCAGUGGGGAAUAUUGCACAAUGGGCGGAAGCCUGAUGCAGCAACGCCGCGUGCGGGAUGACGGCCUUCGAGUGGCAAACCGCUUUCGCCUGUGACGAAGCGUGAGUGACGGUAAUGGGUAAAGAAGCACCGGCUAACUACGUG